Molecule: unclassified non-coding RNA, 547 nt
Filed under: Hevea brasiliensis (rubber tree)
Lineage: Eukaryota; Viridiplantae; Streptophyta; Magnoliopsida; Malpighiales; Euphorbiaceae
Source: RNAcentral
GGGAACUCGAAAGCUUCGUUUUAAACCAUGGAUAAAUAUGAACAAUUGUCAGAUGACGCCUAGAGAAAAUACAGUUGAUCAAAAACAAAGUUGCUUUCUCUAGAACUAAAUUUAGCAGGAUCUGUGUGUACAUGUGCUUGUGAAAAAGCGUUGUUUCUGUUUCCUCUUACUGAUAGUUUCUUGCAUUGGCUAUUAUAAGGUAUAUGUGCAACGCCUCUUGCCACUCUACAGAAGUUAAGCUGCACCAACACCAUGAUAAUAAGGUUGUUUCCCGCAGCUUGCAUUCACUCUACAACUUUAGAAGAAGGGUUGUCUAUGCUGCUUCGAGCUUGGACUUCUUUCUUCUUCGUUCUCUUUAAUUGUUUCAUUAGAUCAAGCCUUUCAGAAGAAAACGGAGAAGGAAUCAAACUUGGAACAUAUUUCUUGAUUGCCGCCAGCAUUGCUGCAUGACCCACUGCAGAAACAGGGAUUAGCAUUAAGAUGGUUAUGGGAACAAGGGUAGCUAUAUCACCCAGCGUUCUCUUCAUUUUCUUUCUCUCCCUUUUGG